Molecule: small RNA, 574 nt
Filed under: uncultured fungus
Lineage: Eukaryota; Fungi
Description: eukaryotic LSU rRNA
Rfam family: 5.8S ribosomal RNA (bases 217-370)
Source: RNAcentral
CUUGGUCAUUUAGAGGAAGUAAAAGUCGUAACAAGGUCUCCGUUGGUGAACCAGCGGAGGGAUCAUUACCGAGUUUACAACUCCCAAACCCCUGUGAACAUACCUUAUGUUGCCUCGGCGGAUCAGCCCGCGCCCCGUAAAAAGGGACGGCCCGCCGCAGGAACCCUAAACUCUGUUUUUAGUGGAACUUCUGAGUAUAAAAAACAAAUAAAUCAAAACUUUCAACAACGGAUCUCUUGGUUCUGGCAUCGAUGAAGAACGCAGCAAAAUGCGAUAAGUAAUGUGAAUUGCAGAAUUCAGUGAAUCAUCGAAUCUUUGAACGCACAUUGCGCCCGCCAGUAUUCUGGCGGGCAUGCCUGUUCGAGCGUCAUUUCAACCCUCAAGCCCAGCUUGGUGUUGGGAGCUGCAGUCCUGCUGCACUCCCCAAAUACAUUGGCGGUCACGUCGAGCUUCCAUAGCGUAGUAAUUUACAUAUCGUUACUGGUAAUCGUCGCGGCCACGCCGUUAAACCCCAACUUCUGAAUGUUGACCUCGGAUCAGGUAGGAAUACCCGCUGAACUUAAGCAUAUCAAAA